This 630-nucleotide ribosomal RNA is filed under the name Bacillus cereus. RNAcentral describes it as "bacterial SSU rRNA". It matches the Rfam family "Bacterial small subunit ribosomal RNA", at positions 444 to 1062 of the family's 1533-position model. The record is from RNAcentral. Lineage: Bacteria; Bacillati; Bacillota; Bacilli; Caryophanales; Bacillaceae.
GAAGAACAAGUGCUAGUUGAAUAAGCUGGCACCUUGACGGUACCUAACCAGAAAGCCACGGCUAACUACGUGCCAGCAGCCGCGGUAAUACGUAGGUGGCAAGCGUUAUCCGGAAUUAUUGGGCGUAAAGCGCGCGCAGGUGGUUUCUUAAGUCUGAUGUGAAAGCCCACGGCUCAACCGUGGAGGGUCAUUGGAAACUGGGAGACUUGAGUGCAGAAGAGGAAAGUGGAAUUCCAUGUGUAGCGGUGAAAUGCGUAGAGAUAUGGAGGAACACCAGUGGCGAAGGCGACUUUCUGGUCUGUAACUGACACUGAGGCGCGAAAGCGUGGGGAGCAAACAGGAUUAGAUACCCUGGUAGUCCACGCCGUAAACGAUGAGUGCUAAGUGUUAGAGGGUUUCCGCCCUUUAGUGCUGAAGUUAACGCAUUAAGCACUCCGCCUGGGGAGUACGGCCGCAAGGCUGAAACUCAAAGGAAUUGACGGGGGCCCGCACAAGCGGUGGAGCAUGUGUGUUUAAUUCGAAGCAACGCGAAGAACCUUACCAGGUCUUGACAUCCUCUGAAAACCCUAUAGAUAGGGCUUCUCCUUCGGGAGCAGAGUGACAGGUGCUGCAUGGUUUUCGGUCAGCACC